GAUGAACGCUGGCGGCGUGCUUAACACAUGCAAGUCGAACGGGAAUUACUUUAUUGAAACUUCGGUCGAUUUAAUUUAAUUCUAGUGGCGGACGGGUGAGUAACGCGUGGGUAACCUGCCUUAUACAGGGGGAUAACAGUCAGAAAUGGCUGCUAAUACCGCAUAAGCGCACAGAGCUGCAUGGCUCAGUGUGAAAAACUCCGGUGGUAUAAGAUGGACCCGCGUUGGAUUAGCUUGUUGGUGGGGUAACGGCCCACCAAGGCGACGAUCCAUAGCCGGCCUGAGAGGGUGAACGGCCACAUUGGGACUGAGACACGGCCCAGACUCCUACGGGAGGCAGCAGUGGGGAAUAUUGCACAAUGGGGGAAACCCUGAUGCAGCGACGCCGCGUGAAGGAAGAAGUAUCUCGGUAUGUAAACUUCUAUCAGCAGGGAAGAUAGUGACGGUACCUGACUAAGAAG
Molecule: ribosomal RNA, 461 nt
Filed under: uncultured bacterium
Lineage: Bacteria
Description: bacterial SSU rRNA
Rfam family: Bacterial small subunit ribosomal RNA
Source: RNAcentral